Molecule: ribosomal RNA, 446 nt
Filed under: uncultured bacterium
Lineage: Bacteria
Description: partial 16S ribosomal RNA
Rfam family: Bacterial small subunit ribosomal RNA
Source: RNAcentral
GUAAGGAAUAUUGGUCAAUGGGGGCAACCCUGAACCAGCCAUGCCGCGUGAAGGAUGAAGGCGUUAUGCGUUGUAAACUUCUUUUGUAUGGGAAGAAUGACAGGGAUUCAUCCUUGGAGAGACGGUACCAUACGAAUAAGCACCGGCUAACUCCGUGCCAGCAGCCGCGGUAAUACGGAGGGUGCAAGCGUUAUCCGGAAUCACUGGGUUUAAAGGGUACGUAGGCGGUUAAUUAAGUCAGUAGUGAAAGACUGUCGCUCAACGACGGAUGUGCUAUUGAUACUGGUUAACUUGAAUCAGGUUAGAGUUGGCGGAAUGGGUCAUGUAGCGGUGAAAUGCUUAGAUAUGACUUGGAACACCGAUAGCGAAGGCAGCUUACUGGGAUGCAACUGACACUGAUGCACGAAAGCGUGGGUAUCAAACAGGAUUAGAAACCCGUGUAGUCC